RNAcentral lists this ribosomal RNA (253 nucleotides) under uncultured bacterium. RNAcentral's name for it is "partial 16S ribosomal RNA". It matches the Rfam family "Bacterial small subunit ribosomal RNA", at positions 524 to 776 of the family's 1533-position model. The record is from RNAcentral.
UACGUAGGGUGCAAGCGUUAAUCGGAAUUACUGGGCGUAAAGCGUGCGCAGGCGGUUGUGCAAGACAGAUGUGAAAUCCCCGGGCUUAACCUGGGAACUGCAUUUGUGACUGUACGGCUGGAGUACGGCAGAGGGGGAUGGAAUUCCGCGUGUAGCAGUGAAAUGCGUAGAUAUGCGGAGGAACACCGAUGGCGAAGGCAGUCCCCUGGGCCUGUACUGACGCUCAUGCACGAAAGCGUGGGGAGCAAACAGG